This 492-nucleotide long non-coding RNA is filed under the name Gadus morhua (Atlantic cod). Its description in RNAcentral is "lncRNA (ENSGMOG00000022959.1)". Lineage: Eukaryota; Metazoa; Chordata; Actinopteri; Gadiformes; Gadidae. The record is from RNAcentral.
UUGAUUAGUUUUGAUAUACGUAAAUAUAUUUGCCAUUUGGUGGAUGCCUUUAACUAAAGCGCCUUUAUUCUGUACUUUUUCGAGCAUGCAACCAAUGAUUAAGCAGUGAUAGUUCUAAAUGAAUUCUUGUAGAGUGUCACGUGUUGUUAUGAUACCUUUGUGGUUGUGUAAUCCAUUGUCCUGGUUGUCUCUCUGCAGGGGCUGAGGGGCCAAGCAGGCACAGCCGGUGCCCAGGGGCCCGCAGGACACAACGGUGUACCUGGAAGACCUGGAGAGAAAGGGGAUGCCGGUGUACCUGUAAGUAUCCUGAGUGGCUGAUAGACACCUGGCUGCAGAAUAUAUAGAACAUGGAAUCCAGUAGUAUAGAAUACCAUCAUCCAAAUUGUUAUGCGCAAUAAAAGCACAACAUAUCCAUGAGUUUACCACUAGCGAUCACCAGCAUAAGCUAACCAUACCCUACACAUUCAGUACACACAUACAUUACAGUGUAAU